This 377-nucleotide ribosomal RNA is filed under the name uncultured bacterium. RNAcentral describes it as "bacterial SSU rRNA". It matches the Rfam family "Bacterial small subunit ribosomal RNA", at positions 521 to 896 of the family's 1533-position model. The record is from RNAcentral.
UAAUACGGAGGGUGCGAGCGUUGUCCGGAAUCACUGGGCGUAAAGGGCGCGUAGGCGGCUCGGUAAGCGUGCGGUGAAAGCCUGGGGCUCAACCCCGGGUCGGCCGUGCGAACUGUCGAGCUGGAGCACUGUAGAGGCAGGCGGAAUUCCGGGUGUAGCGGUGGAAUGCGUAGAGAUCCGGAAGAACACCGGUGGCGAAGGCGGCCUGCUGGGCAGUAGCUGACGCUGAGGCGCGACAGCGUGGGGAGCAAACAGGAUUAGAUACCCUGGUAGUCCACGCCGUAAACGAUGGGUACUAGGUGCUUGGGGGAGCGACCCCCUGGGUGCCGGCGCUAACGCAUUAAGUACCCCGCCUGGGGAGUACGGCCGCAAGGCUG